CGUCAAUUAAUGUAUUUUAUCAAUUAACACUAUAUCAUUGGGACAAUAAAUGAAUGAAGAGACAAACGUCAUUUAUCAAGCAUGCAUUGUAACAUUUCCGUGUUAAAUUGUCAUUUCGUUUCGUUAUCAAAUAACUGACAAUUUAUCGCCCUUUGUAUCAACACGUCAUUUGUAAACAUGACAGGUCGUGAGUAAGGAAACUCUUAAACAGUAAUUUGACGAUUAAUUUAAAAGGGAUAAUGAAUUGCAUUGUGCGACUUACAGAAUGGCUGAAGGAUGAAAGAAUUUCCAGAAAAGUAAAAUUCUUUAUGAAUUUGUGAAUGGAAAUAAAACCCAAGGAACUAAUAUAUUUGCUUACCAUCCAGUUGAAAGUAUGCCAGUGGAAUAAAGUGCAAUUGUCACAGAAGUGCACAAAAUAAGGUCAUGCUUUCUGCAAAAGUGCACCAAGCCGAUUCAACUACAAAUGGGAGUCAGUCAAGAAAUAAGUAAAACUAACUGAACUGUCACAGUUGAACUAUGAGAAAUGUUUGGUAAUAGUAUGUUUUGUUGCCAGAACAGCAGUGAAGUGGUUAGAGUAAAACUGUCUUAAUUGUUUAAGCAACACAGAAUAUUUUGAUUAAAACUUUCUCCAUGUAUAAAAUAUCUUGAGUGCUCUUUUUUUAUUUAAAUGAUCAUACAGAUUCAAGAAAUUUGACAAUAAAUGCAACUUUAUUUUUAUAAGAAAAUAGUGCAUUGUUGCCAUGGUAUUAAACAUUAAUCUGACUAUAGAUUAUUGUAAAACAUCUUUCAUGUUUAUAUGUUCUAUUUGUUAAAAAAAUAAUGUAUGGUCAUAUUCUUUUCUAAGUAAUAACUGCAUCAACAAAACAUUAUGUUAUCAUAUGGAUCUGCUUUAAACUAGCAAUAGUUGUAACUGUGCCGUGUGUAUCAGAAAAUUAUGUAUAUCCCAUACAGUGUCACAUCAGUUUACAUCAAAUGAGGUUUUCUUACCUUUGAAUAUGAAAGUAGACAGCUUUCGAUGUAAAUAGUAUUUUGAAAAACACUUUAACAUAUUCAAUUUGUUUGAAGAAAUUGAUAGAAAUGGUACUUUUGGUAAGAAAAUACAUCAUUGUCGCCAUGGUAACGAGUCACUCAUCAGUAUGACAUCUGUACUACUACUUUAAGCAAAACCAGUUAAAAUAUUUCUAAUAAUUAUUUCUUUUUGCCUAAUUUUCUGUCUAACAGUUACAAAGAAAUAUGCCAAUGAGUCAAGUAUUCUAACAACAAGGUUAAUGUCCUAGUUCUGUCAUGUUAUCUAACUCGAUAUCCAGUAAAGCUUUUUUAGUACAAAAGAAAGCCAUAAGAUUUUUGCCAAAAACUGUUAUCUUUAAAAUCUGUUUGUACACUAGAAAAUGUUGACAGUAUAUUAACUAUACUUUCUAGAUGUUCAUUUUGGCUGGAUUUACCAAGGAACUAUUAAAAUUGGAUUUAACAACUGUGUUGUUAUGGAAACGAUUUUUAGUGGAAAAUGAUAUGUGCUCAUAUGAAAGAAAGAAACAGAAAGAAAUAAAUUUAAUUAACUGCA
Molecule: long non-coding RNA, 1561 nt
Organism: Mercenaria mercenaria
Lineage: Eukaryota; Metazoa; Mollusca; Bivalvia; Venerida; Veneridae
Exons: 2
Source: RefSeq, a predicted model, not a curated record